CUACCCGGGUUUCUAAUCCCGUUUGCUCCCCUAGCUUUCGCGCCUCAGCGUCAGUGUCGGUCCAGGACGCCGCCUUCGCCACCGGUGUUCCUCCGGAUAUCUACGCAUUUCACCGCUACACCCGGAAUUCCACGUCCCUCUCCCGAACUCAAGCCAAGCAGUUUCCCGUGCAGUUCCUCAGUUGAGCCGAGGGAUUUCACACGGGACUUACAAGACCGCCUACGCGCCCUUUACGCCCAGUAAUUCCGAACAACGCUCGCUCCCUCUGUAUUACCGCGGCUGCUGGCAC
Molecule: ribosomal RNA, 289 nt
Filed under: uncultured Acidobacteriota bacterium
Lineage: Bacteria; Pseudomonadati; Acidobacteriota
Description: uncultured Acidobacteria bacterium partial 16S ribosomal RNA
Source: RNAcentral